This 258-nucleotide unclassified non-coding RNA is filed under the name plant metagenome. RNAcentral's name for it is "partial contains small subunit ribosomal RNA and internal transcribed spacer 1". The stretch from base 1 to 46 matches the Rfam family "Eukaryotic small subunit ribosomal RNA", at positions 1786 to 1831 of the family's 1831-position model. The record is from RNAcentral.
AAGUCGUAACAAGGUUUCCGUAGGUGAACCUGCGGAAGGAUCAUUAUCGAAUAAACUUGAUCAGGUUGUUGCUGGCCUUUCAAAGGCAUGUGCACACUUGUCAUCUUUAUUUCUCCAACUGUGCACAUAUUGUAGACCAUGAAUGUUGUUGCUAAUAGCAGAUUUGAGAAGUGCUCAGCUUUCUCUUAUGCAGGUCUAUGUUAUCCAUCUUUUACACACUGUUUUAGAAUGUUUAUUUUGGGAAAUACAAAUGUACAA